UGAAUGGGCAGACUAUCACUGAGCAUAUGGUCCUCGACGAAGUUGACAUAGCAGAGAGGCGACAUCUAUGUGUUCAUGUUCAGACACAUGACGGACCGGUGAUGAAGCUUUAUCUAUGGGACAAGGCCGCAUCUGACUUCUGUGAGAAAUUCAAAUCUUAUGGAAGCACUCCAAGCGUUCUGUUGGUCACCACAGUAAACCCUAAACAUCCUGGAGGAGCCCUUACUCUUACUUCGAUGGCAUCAUCUUGAGUGUUUAUGGAUAACGAUGUCCAGCCUAGCAGGGAUUAUCUUGGAUGGCUGAGCUCAAACUCAGAUCUUGCUAAUAAGAUUAAUGCAGAGGUUGUUACUACGCCUGAGACAGCGACUCUAGAGGAACUUUUCGCCUACAUCAAACAUGAGACUGCUAAGGUUGCUUGGUUUGAAUGCACAGCGACUAUAGAUGGUGUUCUUCGGGGUUCUGCUUGGUAUUAUAUCUCAUGCGGUGGGUGUAAUAGUAAGGCAGUCAAAGGGUCUACCUCUCUGAUUUGUAACAACAAGAAAUGUGGGAAACGUGAUGUUACGCGUUGCUCAAUACCUCACGAGGAUUUCUGUUUACGAUAAGAGUGAACAUGCAGUUUUUGUCAUUCUUGGUGAUGCUGGCAAAGAGCUGACUGGAAAGCAUGCAUCAGAAUUAGUUGCCAGUUACUUUGAGGCUAAUGAGGGCGUAGAAGCUGAUCAUUGCGUGCCGGUACCACAAGCUCUACUUGAUACAAUAGGGCAUACUUAUAGAUUCAUUGUGAAAGUCUCAGAUCAUAAUUUGUCAUGUAAGACUCAAACCAUAACUGUCACAAAGAUAUUCCCACCAGCAGCUCCACAGACUAUAGCUCCCUUGGAAGGGCACGCUGUUCCACCAACGUCUGAUGAUAUCCUGAAGACUGGAGGUGACAGGGUUAGACAAGCAUCUGAGAGUCUUGAAUCAGCUGAAGCCAAGCGUUGCAAGAGUGGCUGAUACAGCUUCGACAAUCCUCUUACGCAAUGAUUGCUUUUGCUGCAGUUUAAGUUUCGUUUUUAUGUUUACCUAAUUACUUUGCUUUCACUCCAUUUCUAUCUUCAGACUUUUGUUCAUUGGAGGCUUUUCUGUUUCUUUGAAUACAGUUCCCGUUAUAUGA
Long non-coding RNA from Brassica oleracea var. oleracea, 1150 nucleotides. RefSeq lists it as uncharacterized. The record is from RefSeq and is a predicted model, not a curated record. The transcript is spliced from 7 exons. NCBI's taxonomy places the organism in Eukaryota, Viridiplantae, Streptophyta, Magnoliopsida, Brassicales, Brassicaceae.